GACGAACGCUGGCGGCGUGCUUAACACAUGCAAGUCGAACGGAAAGGCCCUGCUUUUGUGGGGUGCUCGAGUGGCGAACGGGUGAGUAACACGUGAGUAACCUGCCCUUGACUUUGGGAUAACUUCAGGAAACUGGGGCUAAUACCGGAUAGGAGCUCCUGCUGCAUGGUGGGGGUUGGAAAGUCUCGGCGGUUGGGGAUGGACUCGCGGCUUAUCAGCUUGUUGGUGGGGUAGUGGCUUACCAAGGCUUUGACGGGUAGCCGGCCUGAGAGGGUGACCGGCCACAUUGGGCCUGCGAUACGGCCCAGACUCCUACGGGAGGCAGCAGUGGGGAAUAUUGCACAAUGGGCGGAAGCCUGAUGCAGCAACGCCGCGUGCGGGAUGACGGCCUUCGGGUUGUAAACCGCUUUCGCCUGUGACGAAGCGUGAGUGACGGUAAUGGGUAAAGAAGCACCGGCUAACUACGUG
RNAcentral lists this ribosomal RNA (468 nucleotides) under uncultured bacterium. RNAcentral describes it as "partial 16S ribosomal RNA". It matches the Rfam family "Bacterial small subunit ribosomal RNA", at positions 28 to 507 of the family's 1533-position model. The record is from RNAcentral.